Molecule: ribosomal RNA, 229 nt
Filed under: uncultured bacterium
Lineage: Bacteria
Description: partial 16S ribosomal RNA
Rfam family: Bacterial small subunit ribosomal RNA
Source: RNAcentral
UGCGCAGGCGGGGAUGUAAGUCAGUGGUGAAAUACUGCCGCUCAACGGUAGAACUGCCAUUGAUACUGCAUCUCUUGAGUAUGGUUGAGGUAGGCGGAAUGCGUUGUGUAGCGGUGAAAUGCAUAGAUAUGACACAGAACGCCAAUUGCGAAGGCAGCUUACUAAACCAUUACUGACGCUGAGGCACGAAAGCGUGGGGAGCGAACAGGAUUAGAUACCCUGGUAGUCC